GUAGUUGGAUUAACAUUAAUCCACAUUUGAUGAGAUGGAUUAGAGUAAAACUUAAACUAAAUUGCACCUCAACCCACCUCAACAUAUGUAGAUUGAGGUGAAUCCAACA
Molecule: microRNA precursor, 109 nt
Organism: Sorghum bicolor (sorghum)
Lineage: Eukaryota; Viridiplantae; Streptophyta; Magnoliopsida; Poales; Poaceae
Rfam family: MIR5565 microRNA precursor family
Source: Rfam